GGCGAGAUGGGCGAGCGAUGUAAGGCGCUGGUUUAAGGCACCAGUCUCUUCGGAGGCGUGGGUUCUAAUCCCGCUCUCGACA
RNAcentral lists this transfer RNA (82 nucleotides) under Toxocara canis (dog roundworm). It matches the Rfam family "tRNA". From Rfam's summary of the family: Transfer RNA (tRNA) molecules are approximately 80 nucleotides in length. Their secondary structure includes four short double-helical elements and three loops (D, anti-codon, and T loops). Further hydrogen bonds mediate the characteristic L-shaped molecular structure. tRNAs have two regions of fundamental functional importance: the anti-codon, which is responsible for specific mRNA codon recognition, and the 3' end, to which the tRNAs corresponding amino acid is attached (by aminoacyl-tRNA synthetases). tRNAs cope with the degeneracy of the genetic code in two manners: having more than one tRNA (with a specific anti-codon) for a particular amino acid; and 'wobble' base-pairing, i.e. permitting non-standard base-pairing at the 3rd anti-codon position. The record is from Rfam by way of RNAcentral. Lineage: Eukaryota; Metazoa; Nematoda; Chromadorea; Rhabditida; Toxocaridae.